Molecule: transfer RNA, 58 nt
Filed under: Salmo salar (Atlantic salmon)
Lineage: Eukaryota; Metazoa; Chordata; Actinopteri; Salmoniformes; Salmonidae
Rfam family: tRNA
About the family: Transfer RNA (tRNA) molecules are approximately 80 nucleotides in length. Their secondary structure includes four short double-helical elements and three loops (D, anti-codon, and T loops).
Source: Rfam by way of RNAcentral
UGGCUCAGUUGGUAGAGCAUGGUGUUUGCAACGCCGGGGUUAUGGGUUCGAUUCCCAC